GUGCAGCUGAUCACCGGA
This 18-nucleotide small nuclear RNA is filed under the name Arabidopsis thaliana (thale cress). RNAcentral's name for it is "snRNA_18962". Lineage: Eukaryota; Viridiplantae; Streptophyta; Magnoliopsida; Brassicales; Brassicaceae. The record is from RNAcentral.